RNAcentral lists this long non-coding RNA (294 nucleotides) under Mytilus galloprovincialis (Mediterranean mussel). Lineage: Eukaryota; Metazoa; Mollusca; Bivalvia; Mytilida; Mytilidae. The record is from RNAcentral.
AUUCAAUUCUACGAGAUCAAGAAGUUUUUUUUUAAUUUUUCAAUCUGAAGCUGGUACACACGCUAUUGUUGAUACGGUGUAGUUGAUUAUUAAAAGUCAAACUUCGCCAGGAACCCACACAGACAAGCCUUAAAAUGCCAAAGUAUAAACUUCAAUUCUAAAAGCGUAAAUUUAUGACUUGGAUGAAAGGUUUUCAAAUUGUCACUCAUACCACAUCUUUUAUCUAUGUGUAGGGUACUAUUGAUAAGGGCUUUCAAGCACCAAUUCAAACUACCGGUUAACCGGUUAAUCGGU